AGACUUUCACCCUGUUUUGGUGCUCGCGUGCGAGGUUCUUUCGCACGCAGUUAAACGGGAAGCAAAAGGCGCGUCGUGUGAACCAUGUCGCGCCGAACUGCGCUGCUCCUGCAACGGUGAAUGAUCCGCCGCCAUCGUACGAAUGUGUACGCAUGCUGCAAGCCUGUUCAAGGCCAUUGCGCGUGGAUUACGUGGGAAGGCGAGCCGGCCCGAUCGUCAGCCCGGAUACCGGCCAGACCAUGAGCGGGAUC
This 251-nucleotide non-coding RNA is filed under the name unidentified. The record is from RNAcentral.